GCUCGUGUAGCUCAGUGGUUAGAGCUUCGUGCUUAUAGAUGUUUUCCGGAGUGUCAACUUUCUGUGUCCAAGGUUUUUCAAUCAGACCUUUAAAGCAACGCGACCGUCGUGGGUUCAAACCCCACCUCGAGCA
This 133-nucleotide transfer RNA is filed under the name Huiozyma naganishii CBS 8797. RNAcentral's name for it is "Kazachstania naganishii CBS 8797 tRNA". It matches the Rfam family "tRNA". Rfam says of the family: Transfer RNA (tRNA) molecules are approximately 80 nucleotides in length. Their secondary structure includes four short double-helical elements and three loops (D, anti-codon, and T loops). Lineage: Eukaryota; Fungi; Ascomycota; Saccharomycetes; Saccharomycetales; Saccharomycetaceae. The record is from Rfam by way of RNAcentral.